GCUGUUUCUAUUUCUCGGUGCCAAGCAUGU
Molecule: non-coding RNA, 30 nt
Filed under: Rattus norvegicus (Norway rat)
Lineage: Eukaryota; Metazoa; Chordata; Mammalia; Rodentia; Muridae
Source: RNAcentral